This 812-nucleotide long non-coding RNA is filed under the name Phoenix dactylifera (date palm). RNAcentral's name for it is "long non-coding RNA (PDAC_LNC001440)". The record is from RNAcentral. Lineage: Eukaryota; Viridiplantae; Streptophyta; Magnoliopsida; Arecales; Arecaceae.
UUCGCCAUAGAUCAAUGGCCGAGGUCGCAGAGUUGAGCUAGGAAGUGCCGAUCUCGAAGGUCAGAUGCUUCUAUUUAGCUCAACCUACUUUCCAUGCCUAUAUACCCGAGAAGGCCAAGCUAUGAUGCUUCGGAAGAAAUCCAAAUACGCCAUUUGGGUUGUGAGCUAAAAAUAUCCUCAUACACCACAUCAUAACAAUUAUUAAAUAUCCACCAAGAAUAGCUUGUCACAAAACCAACUUGUAGAGAUAUUUCUGGGCACAGUUAUUUUGUAACCUCUCUUUCCUUUUCUUCCCAGGGGUUCGAUCUUAUUAAUCUUCUUCCUCUCCUCUCUACUAUAGCAUGGAAUUCUUAUGGAUCCUUCACAAGGAUGAGGUCUUCAUCAACGUGCCAAGGUACCCCAGCUGGCACUUAAUUCAAUGGGCUAUGGAAAAGGUGGCUCAAAUGGAAACUGAGCUAGGGUCCCUUCGAGCAAAGGAAUUGUUGAUGGUCUGAUAGCAAGUCGUUGAGGCCGAGAGAAAGGCCCUCUGAGUGAUUGAGGAACAGAAGUUCUUACCGACUCCUUCCAGCAGGGCUUCUAGGAAUUUCAGAAAGGAACAUGUAAACUUAAUUUAGCCAAACCUCAUUGCUUUGCUCCUAGCGGGAGUUGUUCCAAUUAGAAAAGGUAAGAUUCAUUGGACGAGCACCUUUCAUCAAGGCACAAUGAGUAGGCUCUUGGACGGAUCUCCCCUUUGGGCUUGGGACAAGGUGCCAAGGCUUGAUCAACUUGUCUCUCAUUCUUCUUCUUUUCUCCUCUCUUUUUUUCUAGCAGCC